This 253-nucleotide ribosomal RNA is filed under the name uncultured bacterium. Its description in RNAcentral is "partial 16S ribosomal RNA". It matches the Rfam family "Bacterial small subunit ribosomal RNA", at positions 524 to 776 of the family's 1533-position model. The record is from RNAcentral.
UACGUAGGGCGCAAGCGUUGUCCGGAAUUAUUGGGCGUAAAGAGCUCGUAGGCGGUUUGUCGCGUCUGCUGUGAAAGUCCGAGGCUCAACCUCGAAUCUGCAGUGGGUACGGGCAAACUAGAGUGCGGUAGGGGAGAUUGGAAUUCCUGGUGUAGCGGUGGAAUGCGCAGAUAUCAGGAGGAACACCGAUGGCGAAGGCAGAUCUCUGGGCCGUAACUGACGCUGAGGAGCGAAAGCAUGGGGAGCGAACAGG